GAGGUGGGAGGAUUGCUUGAUUCCAGGAGUUUGAGGUUACAGUGAGCUGUGAUCAUACCACUGCACUCCAGCCUGGGCAACAGCAAGACCCUGUCUC
RNAcentral lists this microRNA precursor (97 nucleotides) under Microcebus murinus (gray mouse lemur). RNAcentral describes it as "miRNA (ENSMICG00000042196.1)". Lineage: Eukaryota; Metazoa; Chordata; Mammalia; Primates; Cheirogaleidae. The record is from RNAcentral.